CACUAUGCCUAGCCCUAAACAUUGACAGUUAAUUACACCCACUGUCCGCCUGGGAACUACGAGCACCAGCUUAAAACCCAAAGGACUUGGCGGUGCUUUAGACCCACCUAGAGGAGCCUGUUCUAGAACCGAUAAUCCCCGUUAAACCUCACCCUUCCUUGUCAUUUCCGCCUAUAUACCACCGUCGCCAGCUUACCCUGUGAAGGCCCAAUAGUAAGCACAAUCGGCAAUGCCCAAAACGUCAGGUCGAGGUGUAGCGUAUGGAAGGGGAAGAAAUGGGCUACAUUUACUAACACAGUAAAUACGGAUGAUUACCCUGCAACGAGUAUCUGAAGGAGGAUUUAGCAGUAAGCAAAAAGCAGAGUGUUUUGCUGAAAUUGGCCCUGAAGCGUGCACACACCGCCCGUCACUCUCUCCGAACUAAAACUUUAAACAUAACUAAUAUGCUAUAACUGUAAAGGGGAGGCAAGUCGUAA
Molecule: ribosomal RNA, 476 nt
Filed under: Chaetodon lunula (raccoon butterflyfish)
Lineage: Eukaryota; Metazoa; Chordata; Actinopteri; Chaetodontiformes; Chaetodontidae
Description: partial small subunit ribosomal RNA
Rfam family: Bacterial small subunit ribosomal RNA
Source: RNAcentral